This 1378-nucleotide long non-coding RNA is filed under the name Cricetulus griseus (Chinese hamster). Its description in RNAcentral is "lncRNA (ENSCGRG00015038375.1)". The record is from RNAcentral. Lineage: Eukaryota; Metazoa; Chordata; Mammalia; Rodentia; Cricetidae.
CAGAUUCAAAGUUCAAUAAAUUUCCCUAAAAGCAGACCAUGAGUCACUCUCAUAACUGGGGUAGAACUCAAAACUCCUCGUCCCUAGCCAGAUGACAAAUCAUCAGCUCCGUGGACACCCGUACUGGGGCUGACAAAUCCUUCCAUGAUGCAGGACCGUUCGGUGGCACUGUUGGGUUGUCGUUAUCGAAGAGGAGGUUGACUUACUCCAUAAACUCGGGGGAACCUUGGGGGCCUGUAAAUGGCGUCCCCUGGAAGUACUGCCAUCUGAGCCUGUUCAAGGGCUGUCUCAGGCAGUGUUCCCAGGGGACUAGACCUCUGAAGGUCCCAGGACACACAGCUGCUGAACAGUCCACAUGGCACUUGAAGAACAUACUUGAUGCCUAUGGUAGAACAUGGAAUUUCAGGGAUGCUCCAGCGGCAGUAAGCGGACCUCAAGCUGGAUGGGUGUGGUCAGUUCUACUUCAGACCACAAGAGACUGUCAUUCAUUCCUGGAAGCUUCCAGCUGUACCAUCUACCCAGCCUCCUCUGCUACUUAGAACCUUCACUGGUCACUGCUCCCUGCUCUCACUCCCAACCACCUUCACUUAUUUUAAUACUAACAUGGAAUGUGCUAAUAGUCGAUUAAACUGCUUCUCAUUGAGGGCUGUUAACAUUUUCAUAAGUUCAGGGAGCAUUUUAAGUGAAACAUGCAGAGCCAGGGAUGGAGCAGUGCACCUCCUCGUACUGAUGUGUGAUAUGAAGGCAGAUUGGUAAUUUGGUGGGAGUGGGUAGGAAGACUUAGAAGUAUUGCACAGGCAUCACAGUGUAUAGUCUCUGUGGCUCUGCAGAAUUCUGUUUAGGAUGGGAAUGACACUUUUUGAAAUUGUGUCACAUAGUGGCAACCCAGGCAGUGUGUGUGUGUGUGUGUGUGUGUGUGAGAGAGAGAGAGAGAGAGAGAGAGAGAGAGAGAGAGAGAGAGAGAGAGAGAGAGGUGGGAUAAUGCUCUUAUUCACGUAAAGAUUUGUCUCUCGUAUCGGUUUAAUUAAAUGCUGUUUGGCCAAUAGUCAGGCAGGAAGUAGAGGUGGGGCUACCAGACUAGGAGAAUUAUGGGAAGAGAAAAGGCAGAGACAAAUCAGCCAAACAGAGGAAGCAAGAUGAGAAUGCCAUACUGAGAAAAGGUAGCAAGCCAUGUGGUUAAACAUAGAUAAGCAUUAUGGGUUAAUUUAAGUUGUAAGAGCUCAUUAGUAAUAAGCCUGAGCAAUAAAUAAAACAGUUUACAAUUAAUAUAAGCCUCUGUGUGUUUAUUUGGGACUGAAUUGCUGCAGGACAGGGUGGGACAAAAACUUCCGUCUACGUGUGUGUGUGUGUGUGUGUGUGUGUGUGUGUGUGUGUGUGU